RNAcentral lists this small RNA (67 nucleotides) under Pontibacillus chungwhensis BH030062. Its description in RNAcentral is "Bacillaceae-1 RNA". It matches the Rfam family "Bacillaceae-1 RNA". The record is from Rfam by way of RNAcentral. Lineage: Bacteria; Bacillati; Bacillota; Bacilli; Caryophanales; Bacillaceae.
AAAAGAAGAAGUUCAACUAAGACCGUCACGUCCUGUGACAACGUCGAACGACCCCACAUCGUGUGGG